This 1588-nucleotide long non-coding RNA is filed under the name Homo sapiens (human). Its description in RNAcentral is "non-protein coding lnc-MYBPC1-3:4". Lineage: Eukaryota; Metazoa; Chordata; Mammalia; Primates; Hominidae. The record is from RNAcentral.
AGGUCUGGAGAAAAAGAGCUUAAUGCAAACUUGUCCAACCCGUGGCCCACAGGCCUCAUGCAACCCAGGAUGGCUUUGAAUGCAGCCCAACACAACAGAAGAAGACUCCGUCUCAAAAAAAAAAAAAAAAGGAAAAUCAAAGGAAGAAGUCAGACUAAGGAUGAGAGAAAGGUGCUGAACUAAUGUUUACUUGGAAAUGAUGUUGGUACAUCCAAAUGGGAAUGAUGAGGAAGCAGAUGGAGAGGUUCACCCGGAGCCUAGGAGAAAGGCCAGGGCUGUUGCUCUUGGUUUGGGAGUCCCAUACAUAAAGAUGCUACAUUCUACCCCUUGCCAAAGCUUUAGAAAGGUGUGAGGCUCAGUGAUCGAGAUGCACUUUCUUUUUAAGCCAUGCUUUAAAAUUCUGUCACUGGCUUUGAUGGUCUAUUAAUAUGCCAAUUACAGAUAUGUUUUGACCUAAGUUUCUUCAAUUUGAACUUUCCAGGCUCUAUUACAAAAUGUAUCAAGCAAUAAAUGAGUACUAUCAUAUAUAUGUGAUUCACCCCCAUUUGGAAUUGCAAAUUAAGAGUUUUUUGCAGCUGGGUAUGCAACCUGAUAAAAACCCUCUGCUGCUUUGAAAUCUGGUUGAAAUGAGAAAAAGCAUUUUCUGUUUUUACAUUUGAGAACAAAAGAAAGUCUAGUUUAUGUCCAAACUAUGUUGGCUCUAUAUAUCUCUGUUGAAAUUGGUUGGUGAUGUUGCCUUACUGGUUGUUAAGAACAUUGGCUAUCACCCCUGCUCCUAUGCUCCCAAAAACUCCAGAAUAAUAUUGUGUGCAAUCCCUGUGUAAACACCAAUUUUAUUUUAUUUUAUUUUUAUUGCUAUAACCCAUUGUUUUUAUAUAUAUAUAUCCAGCUGCUGGGUCUUAGCCAUAGUGCAGCAGCCGAGCUGGCUGCUUAACUCAAAUACUCUGAGCACAUUGGAACAAGGUAAUAUGCCCUUAACCAUUCAUUUUUAGAAUAAUUCUGAAGCACUAUUCAGCUCAACAAAUGAGUUAUUGAAUGUCUGAUAUCUGCAUGGCACUGGAAGAGAUAUUAGGGAGGUAAGACUAGGAAGGUAGACCGGGCCCUCAAAUGCCAAGUGAGGGAAGUUGGACUUUAUCAAAGGCUUCUGAACAAGGGAAUAUUUUAUUAGUUUUAGUAAAUUUAGUACAAUAAUUUUUUUCAUAAUAUUUAGAAUGGACUGGAAUGGCACAAAACCAACAUGAUAUAUAGAAACUGGACUGUUCCAUAUUGACAAAAGUACCCACUAAAGUCCUAUAUUUAAUACAUGUAAGUUAUUAGGUGGCAUUUUGCAGUCGUUGGGAACAUAAGCUCUGAAAUCAGACUACACGGGCUUGAAUCCUGGCUUUACCACUAUACUAGCUGUGCAGCCAUGGGUAAGUUUUUGAACCUCACUGUGCUUCAAUUUCCUUAUCCAUAAAAUGGGGAUAACAAUGGUCUACUUCAUAGAGUGUUUGUGAGGAGUAAGUGAAAUAACUCCUGAUGUUUAGAACAGUGCUUGGCAUAGGAUAGAAACUCAUAAAUGUGAGCUACUAUGUUAAGAUAAGGGGGA